This 214-nucleotide ribosomal RNA is filed under the name uncultured bacterium. RNAcentral's name for it is "partial 16S ribosomal RNA". It matches the Rfam family "Bacterial small subunit ribosomal RNA", at positions 524 to 735 of the family's 1533-position model. The record is from RNAcentral.
UACGAAGGGGGCUAGCGUUGCUCGGAAUCACUGGGCGUAAAGGGUGCGUAGGCGGGUCUUUAAGUCAGGGGUGAAAUCCUGGAGCUCAACUCCAGAACUGCCUUUGAUACUGAAGAUCUUGAGUUCGGGAGAGGUGAGUGGAACUGCGAGUGUAGAGGUGAAAUUCGUAGAUAUUCGCAAGAACACCAGUGGCGAAGGCGGAGCUCACUGGCCC